GAUGAACGCUAGCUACAGGCUUAACACAUGCAAGUCGAGGGGAAACGGCAUUGAGUGCUUGCACUCUUUGGACGUCGACCGGCGCACGGGUGAGUAACGCGUAUCCAACCUUCCCAUUACUGUGGGAUAACCUGCCGAAAGGCAGACUAAUACCGCAUGGUCUUCGAUGACGGCAUCAGAUUUGAAGUAAAGAUUUAUCGGUAAUGGAUGGGGAUGCGUCUGAUUAGCUUGUUGGCGGGGUAACGGCCCACCAAGGCAACGAUCAGUAGGGGUUCUGAGAGGAAGGUCCCCCACAUUGGAACUGAGACACGGUCCAAACUCCUACGGGAGGCAGCAGUGAGGAAUAUUGGUCAAUGGACGGAAGUCUGAACCAGCCAAGUAGCGUGCAGGAUGACGGCCCUAUGGGUUGUAAACUGCUUUUGUAUGGGGAUAAAGUUAGGGACGUGUCCCUAUUUGCAGGUACCAUACGAAUAAGGACCGGCUAAUUCCGUGCCAGCAGCCGCGGUAAUACGGAAGGUCCAGGCGUUAUCCGGAUUUAUUGGGUUUAAAGGGAGCGUAGGCUGGAGAUUAAGUGUGUUGUGAAAUGUAGACGCUCAACGUCUGAAUUGCAGCGCAUACUGGUUUCCCUGAGUACGCACAACGUUGGCGGAAUUCGUCGUGUAGCGGUGAAAUGCUUAGAUAUGACGAAGAACUCCGAUUGCGAAGGCAGCUGACGGGAGCGCAACUGACGCUUAAGCUCGAAGGUGCGGGUAUCAAACAGG
RNAcentral lists this ribosomal RNA (761 nucleotides) under Prevotella melaninogenica. Its description in RNAcentral is "bacterial SSU rRNA". It matches the Rfam family "Bacterial small subunit ribosomal RNA", at positions 28 to 776 of the family's 1533-position model. Lineage: Bacteria; Pseudomonadati; Bacteroidota; Bacteroidia; Bacteroidales; Prevotellaceae. The record is from RNAcentral.